GAAGCGGCUCAAGCAACAGGAUCAUAGAGUGUGCUUUGCAGAAUAGCACAUCCAUGGUCAGCAGGCAGCCCUUGUAGCCACAGCUCUCUAUUGUUUCCAGGCCUGUUUCCAGAAUAGCAAGGGGUCUCUGGUGUGGGAGCACAAUAUGUCUGUGUACUUACUGCAGACCAGGACACUGCAUCUUUGGUUUGACUCAGAGGAAAGCUGCAAGCCCAUAAUCUCACAAAGAUGAAUGGAUGCCAGCAACACAAGGAGGUGGUCUCAUACAAAUCCACCUUGAAGAUAGCAUUUUUGUGCAUUCAAAGAGGAACUUUGAUUUCAGCAUGUACAACUUAACUCUAGACUUCCAUUUAAUUUCCCAUUGGUACUUACAUUAGUAGAUAAUGAUUCUGAAGCUCUUCCAAGAAGAUUUUUCUCCCCCCUA
Long non-coding RNA from Hemicordylus capensis (graceful crag lizard), 424 nucleotides. RefSeq lists it as uncharacterized. NCBI's taxonomy places the organism in Eukaryota, Metazoa, Chordata, Lepidosauria, Squamata, Cordylidae. The transcript is spliced from 2 exons. The record is from RefSeq and is a predicted model, not a curated record.